RNAcentral lists this ribosomal RNA (468 nucleotides) under uncultured bacterium. Its description in RNAcentral is "partial 16S ribosomal RNA". It matches the Rfam family "Bacterial small subunit ribosomal RNA", at positions 28 to 507 of the family's 1533-position model. The record is from RNAcentral.
GACGAACGCUGGCGGCGUGCUUAACACAUGCAAGUCGAACGGAAAGGCCCUGCUUUUGUGGGGUGCUCGAGUGGCGAACGGGUGAGUAACACGUGAGUAACCUGCCCUUGACUUUGGGAUAACUUCAGGAAACUGGGGCUAAUAACGGAUAGGAGCUCCUGCUGCAUGGUGGGGGUUGGAAAGUUUCGGCGGUUGGGGAUGGACUCGCGGCUUAUCAGCUUGUUGGUGGGGUAGUGGCUUACCAAGGCUUUGACGGGUAGCCGGCCUGAGAGGGUGACCGGCCACAUUGGGACUGAGAUACGGCCCGGACUCCUACGGGAGGCAGCAGUGGGGAAUAAUGCACAAUGGGCGGAAGCCUGAUGCAGCAACGCCGCGUGCUGGAUGACGGCCUUCGGGUUGUAAACCGCUUUCGCCUGUGACGAAGCGUGAGUGACGGUAAUGUGUAAAGAAGCACCGGCUAACUACGUG